Molecule: ribosomal RNA, 484 nt
Filed under: uncultured bacterium
Lineage: Bacteria
Description: partial 16S ribosomal RNA
Rfam family: Bacterial small subunit ribosomal RNA
Source: RNAcentral
AUUGAACGCUGGCGGCAGGCCUAGCACAUGCAAGUCGAGCGGACGAAGGGAGCUUGCUCCUGGAUUCAGCGGCGGACGGGUGAGUAAUGCCUAGGAAUCUGCCUGGUAGUGGGGGAUAACGUCCGGAAACGGGCGCUAAUACCGCAUACGUCCUGAGGGAGAAAGUGGGGGAUCUUCGGACCUCACGCUAUCAGAUGAGCCUAGGUCGGAUUAGCUAGUUGGUGGGGUAAAGGCCUACCAAGGCGACGAUCCGUAACUGGUCUGAGAGGAUGAUCAGUCACACUGGAACUGAGACACGGUCCAGACUCCUACGGGAGGCAGCAGUGGGGAAUAUUGGACAAUGGGCGAAAGCCUGAUCCAGCCAUGCCGCGUGUGUGAAGAAGGUCUUCGGAUUGUAAAGCACUUUAAGUUGGGAGGAAGGGCAGUAAGUUAAUACCUUGCUGUUUUGACGUUACCAACAGAAUAAGCACCGGCUAACUUCGUG